UGGGGAAUUUUGGACAAUGGGGGCAACCCUGAUCCAGCCAUGCCGCGUGUGUGAAGAAGGCCUUCGGGUUGUAAAGCACUUUCGGCCGGAACGAAAUCGCGUGGGCUAACACCCCGCGUGGAUGACGGUACCGGAAGAAGAAGCACCGGCUAACUACGUGCCAGCAGCCGCGGUAAUACGUAGGGUGCGAGCGUUAAUCGGAAUUACUGGGCGUAAAGUGUGCGCAGGUGGCCGCGCAAGUCGAGUGUGAAAGCCCCGGGCUUAACUUGGGAAUUGCGCUCGAAACUACGUGGCUAGAGUGUGGCAGAGGGAGGUGGAAUUCCACGUGUAGCGGUGAAAUGCGUAGAGAUGUGGAGGAACACCAAUGGCGAAGGCAGCCUCCUGGGCCAACACUGACACUCAUGCACGAAAGCGUGGGGAGCAAACAGGAUUAGAUACCCAGGUAGUCCACGCCCUAAACGAUGAUGACUAGUUG
This 475-nucleotide ribosomal RNA is filed under the name uncultured Pseudomonadota bacterium. Its description in RNAcentral is "bacterial SSU rRNA". It matches the Rfam family "Bacterial small subunit ribosomal RNA", at positions 355 to 822 of the family's 1533-position model. The record is from RNAcentral. Lineage: Bacteria; Pseudomonadati; Pseudomonadota.